Molecule: ribosomal RNA, 884 nt
Filed under: Enterobacter sp.
Lineage: Bacteria; Pseudomonadati; Pseudomonadota; Gammaproteobacteria; Enterobacterales; Enterobacteriaceae
Description: bacterial SSU rRNA
Rfam family: Bacterial small subunit ribosomal RNA
Source: RNAcentral
CUACCAUGCAGUCGAGCGGUAGCACAGAGAGCUUGCUCUCGGGUGACGAGUGGCGGACGGGUGAGUAAUGUCUGGGAAACUGCCUGAUGGAGGGGGAUAACUACUGGAAACGGUAGCUAAUACCGCAUAACGUCGCAAGACCAAAGAGGGGGACCUUCGGGCCUCUUGCCAUCAGAUGUGCCCAGAUGGGAUUAGCUAGUAGGUGGGGUAACGGCUCACCUAGGCGACGAUCCCUAGCUGGUCUGAGAGGAUGACCAGCCACACUGGAACUGAGACACGGUCCAGACUCCUACGGGAGGCAGCAGUGGGGAAUAUUGCACAAUGGGCGCAAGCCUGAUGCAGCCAUGCCGCGUGUAUGAAGAAGGCCUUCGGGUUGUAAAGUACUUUCAGCGGGGAGGAAGGCGAUAAGGUUAAUAACCUUGUCGAUUGACGUUACCCGCAGAAGAAGCACCGGCUAACUCCGUGCCAGCAGCCGCGGUAAUACGGAGGGUGCAAGCGUUAAUCGGAAUUACUGGGCGUAAAGCGCACGCAGGCGGUCUGUCAAGUCGGAUGUGAAAUCCCCGGGCUCAACCUGGGAACUGCAUUCGAAACUGGCAGGCUAGAGUCUUGUAGAGGGGGGUAGAAUUCCAGGUGUAGCGGUGAAAUGCGUAGAGAUCUGGAGGAAUACCGGUGGCGAAGGCGGCCCCCUGGACAAGACUGACGCUCAGGUGCGAAAGCGUGGGGAGCAACAGGAUUAGAUACCCUGGUAGUCCACGCCGUAAACGAUGUCGACUUGGAAGUUGUGCCCUUGAGGCGUGCUUCCGGAGCUAACGCGUAAGUCGACCGCCUGGGGAGUACGGCCGCAGGGUAAAACUCAAAUGAAUUGACGGGGCCCGCACAAGCGG